AUGAAAGAAAGACGAGUCCAGGCUGCGACCCAUAGAGUUGUCUGCUGCAGCCCUGACAACAAGGAUGGGACCCAAGCCCCAACACAGGCAACCCAUAGAGUUGUCUGCUGCAGCCCUGACAACAAGGAUGGGACCCAAGCCCCAACACAGGCAACCCAUAGAGUUGUCUGCUGCAGCCCUGACAACAAGGAUGGGACCCAAGCCCCAACACAGGCAACCCAUAGAGUUGUCUGCUGCAGGCCUGACAACAAGGAUGGGACCCAAGCCCCAACACAGGCAACCCAUAGAGUUGUCUGCUGCAGCCCUGACAACAAGGAUGGGACCCAAGCCCCAACACAGGCAACCCAUAGAGUUGUCUGCUGCAGCCCUGACAACAAGGAUGGGACCCAAGCCCCAACACAGGCAACCCAUAGAGUUGUCUGCUGCAGGCCUGACAACAAGGAUGGGACCCAAGCCCCAACACAGGCAACCCAUAGAGUUGUCUGCUGCAGCCCUGACAACAAGGAUGGGACCCAAGCCCCAACACAGGCAACCCAUAGAGUUGUCUGCUGCAGCCCUGACAACAAGGAUGGGACCCAAGCCCCAACACAGGCAACCCAUAGAGUUGUCUGCUGCAGGCCUGACAACAAGGAUGGGACCCAAGCCCCAACACAGGCAACCCAUAGAGUUGUCUGCUGCAGCCCUGACAACAAGGAUGGGACCCAAGCCCCAACACAGGCAACCCAUAGAGUUGUCUGCUGCAGCCCUGACAACAAAGAUGGGACCCAAGCCCCAACACAGGCAACCCAUAGAGUUGUCUGCUGCAGGCCUGACAACAAGGAUGGGACCCAAGCCCCAACACAGGCAACCCAUAGAGUUGUCUGCUGCAGCCCUGACAACAAGGAUGGGACCCAAGCCCCAACACAGGCAACCCAUAGAGUUGUCUGCUGCAGCCCUGACAACAAGGAUGGGACCCAAGCCCCAACACAGGCAACCCAUAGAGUUGUCUGCUGCAGCCCUGACAACAAGGAUGGGACCCAAGCCCCAACACAGGCAACCCAUAGAGUUGUCUGCUGCAGCCCUGACAACAAGGAUGGGACCCAAGCCCCAACACAGGCAACCCAUAGAGUUGUCUGCUGCAGCCCUGACAACAAGGAUGGGACCCAAGCCCCAACACAGGCAACCCAUAGAGUUGUCUGCUGCAGCCCUGACAACAAGGAUGGGACCCAAGCCCCAACACAGGCAACCCAUAGAGUUGUCUGCUGCAGCCCUGACAACAAAGAUGGGACCCAAGCCCCAACACAGGCAACCCAUAGAGUUGUCUGCUGCAGGCCUGACAACAAGGAUGGGACCCAAGCCCCAACACAGGCAACCCAUAGAGUUGUCUGCUGCAGCCCUGACAACAAGGAUGGGACCCAAGCCCCAACACAGGCAACCCAUACCAAACACAUACUAGUAUGGAUGAAAACAUCUAUACAGUUACGUAUCGAAAUUUUAUUUUUGGACAAUAUUCUAUCGACAUUUGACUCCAAGUAUCAAUUUGUAAUGUUUUUAGUUUUGCUACUGCUGGUAGCAUUAGAUAGCUCUAGUCGGCUGUAUCUAUGCCAAAACGCUGCUAUUCUUCAUCCUACAGAGGGUAGUGUGAACGGCACAGUACAUCACUGGGGCAAAGCUGACUGCCAUCCAGGACCUCUACACCAGGCGGUGUCAGAGGAAGGACGGUGA
RNAcentral lists this long non-coding RNA (1704 nucleotides) under Oncorhynchus mykiss (rainbow trout). RNAcentral's name for it is "lncRNA (ENSOMYG00000072628.1)". Lineage: Eukaryota; Metazoa; Chordata; Actinopteri; Salmoniformes; Salmonidae. The record is from RNAcentral.